GUGUUUCGACACAGCGCCACCUAGUGGUCAGGAGAUAUGAAAAAUGCAUAUUUUGGCUUAUAACUACUGAAUGGUUUGGCCAAAAAUCACACAACUGGUCUCUUUAGAUUCAGUGAGUCAUGUCGAGUCGAAUGAUAUCCAAUUUUCCUGUGUCGGCCAUUUUAGGCGUCGGCCAUUUUGAAUUAUGUUUCAAAAUGCUGUAUUUUUUGAACGCAGCAUCGUAUCGUUUCGCAAAUAAUUACAAAAAUAUUCGGCUCCAUGCCCUGAAGGUACUCAAAAAGUUUGGUGGCAGCGCCACCUUGUGGCCAAUAGUUAUAAUGAAAUAUCACAUAAACGCUAAUAACUUUUGAAUAAAUUAGUCUAUUAAAAUUAAAAUGGUCUCGCUAUAUUCUGUGGGUCAUGCCGAGAGUAUUGAUACCAAUAAUGUGAAAAUUGGCCUUACUUCCUGUCCGCCAUUUUGCUUAAUGUUGAAAACCUACUUUUUCGAACUCCUCCUAGACCGUUAGCCCAAUUUUCACCAAAUUUGACGUGAAUCAUCUUCAGACCAUGCUGGCAAAAAGUUAUGGAUUUUGUGUCGAUAUACGUAACGGUUCUCAUUUAGCGCAUCAACGAAUUUGCUGGAAGGGUGCCAAAAUGCAUUUGAGGCUGUAUCUCUGCAACACUUUGACAUAUUUGCACCAAACUUUGUAUGUGUCAUCGCCACCUCACACUGACCAUGCCACAUAAAUUUGGUAACAGCGCCACCUAUUGGUCAAGAGUAAUAAACCAUUCAUUAACCAUGAGUAAUUACACUUUUUAAAAUGCUAAUAACUUUUUAGUCCAUUAGCCUAUUGCAACGAAACUGGGCUCAAAAUAUUCCCUGGCUUAUGCCGAUAACAUAGAUACCAAAUAUGCCAGUGUUUACUGAAGUUCCGGUCCACCAUUUUGAUUUAUGUGGAAAACCUACUUUUUCGAACUCCUCAUGAACCGUAUGUCCAAUUUUCACCAAAUUCGAAUCAGAUGAUCUUCAGACUAUGUUGACACAAAGUUAUGGAUUUUGUGUCGAUAGACAAAACCGUUUUCGCAUACCAAAGCGACGAAGUUGAAACACAAUGACAAAAUGACACUUGAGGCUGCAUCUCUGGAAUGCUGUGGCAUAUUAACACCAAACUUUGUGUGUGUCAUUGAAAAGUCAAACAGAGUACACCAAAUUGAUUUCAUAACAGUGCCACCUAUUGGUCAAACUUUAUAAGCCAAGUAAUCAUGCUACUAGAGGUGGUAUUAUGAUUUUUUUUUUUGCCAUUUCAAUUACAAUAAUUCCAAAAUUACUGUUAUUGCUCAUUAAUGUAUUUGGUGUGAUGCUUCAUGCCAUGCUUAGCUCCUACAUUUGCCGUUGGAGUGCUUGGCCCCGUAAUUGCUGCUUGCAGCUAUAUUUAGGGGCCAAGCACCGAAGGUGCGUAGGCACCUAUUGUUUUCGUUGGCGUUAUUAUUAUUCUUCUUCUUCUUCUUCCGCCGCAAGUCUAUGGCAGCCCAUAGAACCGAUUGCGGGAAAGUUGUAUAAUUUGGCACACUGAUAGAGGACAGUCCCAACAUUAACUAUAGCAAAUUUGAAGUCUCUAUCUCCUACUCUCUAGCGCCACCACUUGUCCAAACUUUCAAUGUUUGUAUGCUAAUAACUUUUGAACCGUAAGCCAGAAAAUGGAAAUUCUUUUUUCCUCUGAAUCCUUGGCUCAUGCCGAGUCGAAUGGACACCAAAAUUCAAAAAUCGCAAGGUUUAGUUUUUUCGCUAUUUUCAAUUAUUCGAAAAACCUACUUUUUCGAACUCGUCCUAGACGGUUAGUCCGAUUGCCACGAAAAUUGGCUCAGAUCAUCUUCAGACCAUGCUGGCAAAAAGUUAUGGAAUUCAAGUUGAUUCGUCCAACUGUUGUCGAAUGACACGUAAACAAAUUUGACGAAAAGCACGCAAACAUGCACGUGAGGCUAUAUCCCGGCAACGGUUUGUCAUAUUGAGACCAAACUUGCCGUGUGUUAUAACAAGCAUGAACUGAGACUACCUGCAGUGUUUCGAAACAGCGCCACCUAGUGGUCAGGAGAUAUGAAAAAUGCAUAUUUUGGCUUAUAACUACUGAAUGGUUUGGCCAAAAAUCACACAACUGGUCUCUUUAGAUUCAGUGAGUCAUGUCGAGUCAAAUGAUAUCCAAUUUUCCCGUGUCGGCCAUUUUAGGCGUCGGCCAUUUUGAAUUAUGAUUUAAAAUGCUGUAUUUUUUGAACGCAGCAUCGUAUCGUUUCGCAAAUAAUUACAAAAAUAUUCGGCUCCAUGCCCUGAAGGUACUCAAAAAGUUUGGUGGCAGCGCCACCUUGUGGCCAAUAGUUAUAAUGAAAUAUCACAUAAAUGCUAAUAACUUUUGAAUAAAUUAGUCUAUUAAAAUUAAAAUGGUCUCGCUAUAUUCUGUGGGUCAUGCCGAGAGUAUUGAUACCAAUAAUGUGAAAAUUGGCCUUACUUCCUGUCCGCCAUUUUGCUUAAUGUUGAAAACCUACUUUUUCGAACUCCUCCUAGACCGUUAGCCCAAUUCUCACCAAAUUUGACGUGAAUCAUCUUCAGACCAUGCUGGCAAAAAGUUAUGGAUUUCGUGUCGAUAUACGUAACGGUUCUCAUUUAGCGCAUCAACGAAUUUGCUGGAAGGGUGCCAAAAUGCAUUUGAGGCUGUAUCUCUGCAACACUUUGACAUAUUUGCACCAAACUUUGUAUGUGUCAUCGCCACCUCACACUGACCAUGCCACAUAAAUUUGGUAACAGCGCCACCUAUUGGUCAAGAGUAAUAAACCAUUCAUUAACCAUGAGUAAUUACACUUUUUAAAAUGCUAAUAACUUUUUAGUCCAUUAGCCUAUUGCAAAGAAACUGGGCUCAAAAUAUUCCCUGGCUUAUGCCGAUAACAUAGAUACCAAAUAUGCCAGUGUUUACUGAAGUUCCGGUCCACCAUUUUGAUUUAUGUGGAAAACCUACUUUUUCGAACUCCUCAUGAACCGUAUGUCCAAUUUUCACCAAAUUCGAAUCAGAUGAUCUUCAGACUAUGUUGACACAAAGUUAUGGAUUUUGUGUCGAUAGACAAAACCGUUUUCGCAUACCAAAGCGACGAAGUUGAAACACAAUGACAAAAUGACACUUGAGGCUGCAUCUCUGGAAUGCUGUGGCAUAUUAACACCAAACUUUGUGUGUGUCAUUGAAAAGUCAAACAGAGUACACCAAAUUGAUUUCAUAACAGUGCCACCUAUUGGUCAAACUUUAUAAGCCAAGUAAUCAUGCUACUAGAGGUGGUAUUAUGAUUUUUUUUUUGCCAUUUCAAUUACAAUAAUUCCAAAAUUACUGUUAUUGCUCAUUAAUGUAUUUGGUGUGAUGCUUCAUGCCAUGCUUAGCUCCUACAUUUGCCGUUGGAGUGCUUGGCCCCGUAAUUGCUGCUUGCAGCUAUAUUUCUUCUUCUUCUUCUUCUUCCGCCGCAAGUCUAUGGCAGCCCAUAGAACCGUUUGCGGGAAAGUUGUAUAAUUUGGCACACUGAUAGAGGACUGUCCCAACAUUAACUA
This is a long non-coding RNA of Carassius gibelio (silver crucian carp), 3559 nucleotides long. RefSeq lists it as uncharacterized. Lineage: Eukaryota; Metazoa; Chordata; Actinopteri; Cypriniformes; Cyprinidae. The transcript has 3 exons. The record is from RefSeq and is a predicted model, not a curated record.